AUUUAUUAAUGAGGAAUAUAGGAGGAGAGAACCAGACAUCACUGCUGGGACUGAACUCUGAACCUCAUGCUUUGAGAGCCCAGUGCGUUAGCCACUACAUCACCUCCUGGACCACUUGCAGUCACGCUGAAGGCUUGGGUUCCUGUCUAGUUCUUGCUCUUUGCUCCAAGAUGACCUUUUCUUGGGGGUCAGGGGGAGGGACCCACACGGCCACCACUGUCCCCAGUGCGCCGCUCCUGGACUUCCCAGCCCGGACCUUCACGAGGCCCAGCAGGCUCAGACUAUGAUGCAAGUCCCUGCACCUCGUUCAAGGACGUCCACAAGGCCAGACACCUUCUCAUCUGCACCGAGGUCCCGACUCCCCUGGCUGCCAGCUGAGGGCAGCGGGGGACAGGGACGCAUACUUGGGCGCCCUUGGAAUGGUGUGGACAGAGGCCCUGACAGCUGUCUCCUUCAGGGGGCAGCUUCCUGGGUACUCAGGGGUGCUGCCUAGCAGGUGGGCAGGUACGUUCUGAAACUCAGAAGUUCCAGGGGUGGUCUCUGGGACCUGUUUCUAGCCUCCCCACUGCCUGCAGUUUGCAAAGCACCUGACUUUCUUCCCUGUCAGCAGCCCAGAGCACACGCGUGUGGCUGCUGAGGCCGCAGCUCAGCCUGUCCCUGAACCUCCCUGAUGGGGCCCUGGGGCCCCUGGCAGACCAGGAGGAGCCCUCCCCUCUGGGGCGCUGUCCCUUCCCACCCAGCCCUGGGGGCAGAGGGCUGGGCCCCACUCCAGGAUGACCAAACGCCACUGCCUGCCCACUGGAUGACUAGGAAAAUCACCCAAGCCCUCUGGCCGAGAGGUUUCUUCAUCUACGGGGCCAGGCAACUAUUGCAACGGAGGGCGAGAGGACGCAGGCAGCUCGGCGGGUGCAGCUGGGAGCGCGGCCUCCACAGACCCCGAGUCCCGGACGUGCGCCCCAUCAUGGCUGCAGCCAGGCACCCCGUGGGAGGCGUGGCGGCACUGAAGGAAGCGCCGGUGCUGCCAUUUUUCUCUCUGAAUAAAGAAGCUGCCGAG
This is a long non-coding RNA of Erinaceus europaeus (western European hedgehog), 1054 nucleotides long. RefSeq lists it as uncharacterized. The transcript is spliced from 2 exons. NCBI's taxonomy places the organism in Eukaryota, Metazoa, Chordata, Mammalia, Eulipotyphla, Erinaceidae. The record is from RefSeq and is a predicted model, not a curated record.